GAGUUUGAUCCUGGCUCAGGACGAACGCUGGCGGCAGGCUUAACACAUGCAAGUCGAGCGCACUCUUCGGAGUGAGCGGCGGACGGGUUAGUAACGCGUGGGAUCGUGCCCUUCUCUAAGGAAUAGCCACUGGAAACGGUGAGUAAUACCUUAUACGCCCUUCGGGGGAAAGAUUUAUCGGAGAAGGAUCGGCCCGCGUUAGAUUAGAUAGUUGGUGGGGUAACGGCCUACCAAGUCUACGAUCUAUAGCUGGUUUUAGAGGAUGAUCAGCAACACUGGGACUGAGACAUGGCCCAGACUCCUACGGGAGGCAGCAGUGGGGAAUCUUGGACAAUGGGCGCAAGCCUGAUCCAGCCAUGCCGCGUGAGUGAUGAAGGCCCUGGGGUCGUAAAGCUCUUUCGCCAGGGAUGAUAAUGACAGUACCUGGUAAAGAAACCCCGGCUAACUCCGUGCCAGCAGCCGCGGUAAUACGGAGGGGGUUAGCGUUGUUCGGAAUUACUGGGCGUAAAGCGCACGUAGGCGGAUCGGAAAGUUGGGGGUGAAAUCCCGGGGCUCAACCCCGGAACUGCCUCCAAAACUAUCGGUCUAGAGUUCGAGAGAGGUGAGUGGAAUUCCGAGUGUAGAGGUGAAAUUCGUAGAUAUUCGGAGGAACACCAGUGGCGAAGGCGGCUCACUGGCUCGAUACUGACGCUGAGGUGCGAAAGUGUGGGGAGCAAACAGGAUUAGAUACCCUGGUAGUCCAUACCGUAAACGAUGAAU
RNAcentral lists this ribosomal RNA (759 nucleotides) under uncultured bacterium. RNAcentral describes it as "bacterial SSU rRNA". It matches the Rfam family "Bacterial small subunit ribosomal RNA", at positions 9 to 814 of the family's 1533-position model. The record is from RNAcentral.